Molecule: ribosomal RNA, 496 nt
Filed under: uncultured bacterium
Lineage: Bacteria
Description: bacterial SSU rRNA
Rfam family: Bacterial small subunit ribosomal RNA
Source: RNAcentral
AGGCAGCAGUGAGGAAUAUUGGUCAAUGGGCGUAAGCCUGAACCAGCCAAGUCGCGUGAGGGAUGAAGGUUCUAUGGAUCGUAAACCUCUUUUAUAAGGGAAUAAAGUGUGGGACGUGUCCUGUUUUGUAUGUACCUUAUGAAUAAGGAUCGGCUAACUCCGUGCCAGCAGCCGCGGUAAUACGGAGGAUCCGAGCGUUAUCCGGAUUUAUUGGGUUUAAAGGGUGCGUAGGCGGCCUUUUAAGUCAGCGGUGAAAGUCUGUGGCUCAACCAUAGAAUUGCCGUUGAAACUGGGAGGCUUGAGUAUGUUUGAGGCAGGCGGAAUGCGUGGUGUAGCGGUGAAAUGCUUAGAUAUCACGCAGAACCCCGAUUGCGAAGGCAGCCUGCCAAGCCAUGACUGACGCUGAUGCACGAAAGCGUGGGGAUCAAACAGGAUUAGAUACCCUGGUAGUCCACGCAGUAAACGAUGAUCACUAGCUGUUUGCGAUACAGUGUAA